CGGAGGAAGGUGGGGAUGACGUCAAGUCAUCAUGCCCCUUAUGUCCAGGGCUUCACACAUGCUACAAUGGCCGGUACAAAGGGCUGCGAUGCCGUGAGGUGGAGCGAAUCCUUUCAAAGCCGGUCUCAGUUCGGAUCGGGGUCUGCAACUCGACCCCGUGAAGUCGGA
Molecule: ribosomal RNA, 168 nt
Filed under: uncultured Actinomycetes bacterium
Lineage: Bacteria; Bacillati; Actinomycetota; Actinomycetes
Description: uncultured actinobacterium partial 16S ribosomal RNA
Rfam family: Bacterial small subunit ribosomal RNA
Source: RNAcentral